GAGGAAUAUUGGUCAAUGGACGGAAGUCUGAACCAGCCAAGUAGCGUGCAGGAUGACGGCCCUAUGGGUUGUAAACUGCUUUUGUAUGGGGAUAAAGUCAAUCACGUGUGAUUGUUUGCAGGUACCAUACGAAUAAGGACCGGCUAAUUCCGUGCCAGCAGCCGCGGUAAUACGGAAGGUUCGGGCGUUAUCUGGAUUUAUUGGGUUUAAAGGGAGCGUAGGCCGGAGAUUAAGUGUGUUGUGAAAUGUAGACGCUCAACGUCUGACUUGCAGCGCAUACUGGUUUCCUUGAGUGCGCACAACGUUGGCGGAAUUCGUCGUGUAGCGGUGAAAUGCUUAGAUAUGACGAAGAACUCCGAUUGCGAAGGCAGCUGACGGGAGCGCAACUGACGCUUAAGCUCGAAGGUGCGGGUAUCAAACAGGAUUAGAUACCCUGGUAGUCCGCACAGUAAACGAUGGAUGCCCGCUGUUGGUACCUGGUAUCAGCGGCUAAGCGAAAGCAUUAAGCAUCCCACCUGGGGAGUACGCCGGCAACGGUG
Molecule: ribosomal RNA, 539 nt
Filed under: uncultured bacterium
Lineage: Bacteria
Description: bacterial SSU rRNA
Rfam family: Bacterial small subunit ribosomal RNA
Source: RNAcentral